Molecule: ribosomal RNA, 505 nt
Filed under: uncultured bacterium
Lineage: Bacteria
Description: bacterial SSU rRNA
Rfam family: Bacterial small subunit ribosomal RNA
Source: RNAcentral
CGAACGCUGGCGGCGCGUCUUAAGCAUGCAAGUCGGACGGCAAGGGUUGUGCUUGCACAACUCCUAGAGUGGCGGACUGGUGAGUAACGCGUGGGUGACUUGCCCUCGAGAUGGGGAUAGCCAUUAGAAAUAGUGGAUAAUACCGAAUACGCUCAUGACCCUGUGGGGAUAUGAGGAAAACAGGCUACGGCCUGGCUCGAGGAUGGGCCCGCGUCCCAUUAGCUAGUUGGUGAGGUAACGGCCCACCAAGGCGACGAUGGGUAUCCGGCCUGAGAGGGUGUACGGACACAUUGGGACUGAGAUACGGCCCAAACUCCUACGGGAGGCAGCAGCUAAGAAUAUUCCGCAAUGGACGAAAGUCUGACGGAGCGACGCCGCGUGGAUGAAGAAGGCCGGAAGGUUAGUAAAAUCCUUUUGAAACUGAAGAAUAAGCGUUGUAGGGAAUGACAGCGUGGUGACAGUUAGGUUUUGAAUAAGCAACGGCUAAUUACGUGCCAGCAGCGGC